RNAcentral lists this ribosomal RNA (468 nucleotides) under uncultured bacterium. RNAcentral's name for it is "partial 16S ribosomal RNA". It matches the Rfam family "Bacterial small subunit ribosomal RNA", at positions 28 to 507 of the family's 1533-position model. The record is from RNAcentral.
GACGAACGCUGGCGGCGUGCUUAACACAUGCAAGUCGAACGGAAAGGCCCUGCUUUUGUGGGGUGCUCGAGUGGCGAACGGGUGAGUAACACGUGAGUAACCUGCCCUUGACUUUGGGAUAACUUCAGGAAACUGGGGCUAAUACCGGAUAGGAGCUCCUGCAGCAUGGUGGGGGUUGGAAAGUUUCGGCGGUGGGGGUUGGACUCGCGGCUUACUCGCUGGUUGGGGGGGUAGGGGCUUACCAAGCGUUUGACGGGUAGCCGGCCUGGGAGGGUGACCGGCCACAUUGGGACUGAGAUACGGCCCAGACUCCAACGGGAGGCAGCAGUGGGGAAUAUUGCACAAUGGGCGGAAGCCUGAUACAGCAGCGCCGCGUGCGGGAUGACGGCCUUCGGGUUGUAAACCGCUUUCGCCUGUGACGAAGCGUGAGUGACGGUAAUGGGUAAAGAAGCACCGGCUAACUACGUG